Molecule: long non-coding RNA, 2982 nt
Organism: Sorghum bicolor (sorghum)
Lineage: Eukaryota; Viridiplantae; Streptophyta; Magnoliopsida; Poales; Poaceae
Exons: 3
Source: RefSeq, a predicted model, not a curated record
CAGGAGCGGCCUUGGGGACAUCUACAUUAAGAUGAUGAGCUUGUUAUGUUAUUAUGUUCAUUUGAUUAUCGUUUAUGCCAUGAGAUUAAUUAUGCUUACACUUGAUCAUGUGAUUAGUGGAUUAUCUAUGCUACCUUGGCAUUUGCUAUUUAAUUAUGAAUAUGCUAUCCACUAAUAAAAGCUAAAUGCAGUCAAACCAGUGUCAGCUAUUUGAGCCUCAUGAACCCCUGGGUAUACUUGUUGAGUACGAUAUGUGCUCACCCUUGCUAUUUCCCACCACUUCAGUUUACUAGUAAGAGUCGAGCAGAAGAGCGAUGGAAUCAUGAAGGUGUUCUCAAGAUACAAGAAGUGCUAGGCAUAUGUUACCCCCAGUCAGCCGUCCCUGUGUAGAUUGAGCCUGAAGAUUUGUUACCGUUCCGCGAUACUCUGAUGUAAGUGUUAAUUAUAAAUAUGUUUUCGCUAUAUAACAUUGUUUCUGAUACUGUUCCUUUCUGUUGUUGUAUGUGUGGACUUCCUGGGCACACAUAUAGCUAGCCUGGUUUUGUUCCUUAAAACCGGGUGUGACAGAGUGGUAUCAGAGCAGUGUUGACUGUAGGACGUAUGCCUAGGUAGCACUGGUCGGUUAGAAAAGUCUAAUUUGCUAUAAAACUAUUUUAUUAUCCCUUGGCUCUUUGAGUUUGAUUAUUUCUCAAUCUUUGUCAUAUUGUAUCUCCUCCUUGAAUAGCUUCCUUUGAGCUAAUUCUAUUUAUCACCUUGGCCUUUAUUUACUUGUUUUACUUAACUUUUCAAAACUUGUUCUAUUAAAAAUUCGAUGGCCUUUUAUCAUCUCUAAUCUGCCCUUUAGGAUGACCACCAUUGUUGAAGAAACAGGUGUAGAAUCGAUGAUGUGUUGUGUGCUUGUCUUGUUUGUAUGAUGCCUGUGUGUCGUCUUUGUUCUUGUGUUUCGAAGGAGGUCUGGAAGGUACCGUCGUGAGAAGUAGCUCAAUCUUGUUAAGUGGGGUAGCGUCCGCUACCGUUAAGUAUCUCAAGUUUCAAGACAGGAAAAUCUAACGAUCAAUCUUAUCCUUCUUGUAUAUCCUUCUUGUAUAGCAAACGUCAUCUUUUCUAUCAUCAAUCAUUAUCUUAUACACUAUUUAGUAUUUGCCCCUUAUCAUUACCUUGUAAUAUGAUGACCUACAGGUCAACUUCACCUUUCUAGUGUAUUUUUUUUGUCAUCGAUUUUUGUGUUUCUUGUGAUCAGCUAGUAUUUUCUAUUUAACCCUUGUCAGUCUACAAUUAUCUUAUCAUCUCUCAUCAUAAAGCUCGAAAUAACCUUGAAAACCAAUCUUUGUUCUCCUAUCGAUCCUUGUUAAGUUAUAAUAUUUCAUCAUAAACCUCAUAAAUCUUGAAUUAAGGAUUUCUGAGCACUAUAAGAUGUAUCUUUAUCUUUUAUAUAUUCUCUUAUUGAUCUUCACUCCUUGACUUUAAACCUCAUAAUGUGAAGACCCCGUGAUCAACUUUUAUUUAUCUUUUUAACCUUUGUUGAUAUUUCUCCUCCACACAUGCUGAUCUUCAAUCCUUUGAUCUCAUGUCAUAAAUCCUGAAUUAAUCUUGAGAGCCGAUCUUUGAUAUCUUUGUCAACUUUUGUUAAUCAUUAAUUUCUAAAUCAUCUUGUCAAAAGUCUCAAAGCAACCUUGAUGAUCACCUUUAUCAUUGUCUCUAGUCUCUUCGAAUCUCGGGACGAGAUUCCUGUUAAGUGGGGUAGAAUAAUUGUAACACCCUAAAAUUUGCUCCUUUUAAAAUAGAUGAAAAUUGAUUUAGUUUUGUAUUUGAGUGCUCAUGAAAAUAUAAAAAAAAAAUAAUUUUGCUCCUUGUUCGGCACAUCUUUAUUCCUUGUUUUCCAGCCUGUGCUUUCGUUUCGAGUUUCCCAAAAUCUUUUCCGUGUAACCCAAAUCACUCCUUUCAGUUCCUCACCCGUCAAUCAAUCUCUAAAAAGUUACCGGAAAUUAUUUCAGCAUUUUUCUGAAACUCGUUCCACUUUUCUGUGAGCAUAAUCUAAUUUUUAGAUACUCCUAUAUAUCUUUUAUGAGCUCUAAAUACUUUAUUUGGGUUCUUCAUGUUCUAAAAUAUCUUUAAGAAUUUUCUCAUAAUUUUUGGACCCUUCGGAGUAUUUUUCGGACCUUAAAUAUCAAUUCUGGACUUUUUGGAAUUAUUUUUAUUCACGAAAUUAAUUAAUUCCGAAAAUAAAAUAAAAUAUCUCGUUUUUCCAUCAACCCAAAACCCCAACACUAUAUAUAUGCCGGCGUAGCCCUCGAUGCGCUGAUUCCGAAAGUACGGCCGGUUUUUCGAGCCGUCGUUCCUAUCGUCUUAGAUCUAAAGCCGAAGUUUCGAAACCUAGAACUCCGGCGAACUUCCGGCGAACCUUCGGCGAGCUUUUCCGGCCAUCUCCGACAUCACCUGCGAAAAUCGUCGCCAUCUAGAGCACCAUGGCCGGCCUUCUCCUCUAUCUGCUCAGGCCACCCUGCAGAGCAACCAACCUAACCGAGUCCUAGGCACCGCAGCCCCAUGGCCAUGCCGACCAUGUGCGCCGUGGCCCUGCCGCGCCACCAGCCUUCCUGGCCGUGUGCUCGGUCGAGCAGGGCUGGCAGCAGGCCGUGCUGCCCCUGUGGUCUUGUCUCUGGCUCAUCUUGAACAUGGGUCCGUGUCGCUGUGACUUUGCGCUGCCUCGCCGUGUCUCCGGCUGGCCAGCUGGCCAGACCCCUCCCAUCCCCACGCACUGCGGCAGCAGUGGUCAUGGAGGCCACGGGCUCCUCCAGCCCAAGACGAGAACCGUUUGUGGGCGUUGAAGAUCAGAAGGUGAUGACCGAAAGCUGAAGGUGUGGGAAUUGAGCAAAUAUUUAAGGCAAGUAUAACUUGGGAUCAUCCUUGUUACCUAUUCACUUAUAACUACACAUAUAUGUCAUAUGCAUGCUAUCACCUUGUCGACCUUAGCAAAAUCAUAGA